Molecule: long non-coding RNA, 962 nt
Filed under: Malus domestica (apple)
Lineage: Eukaryota; Viridiplantae; Streptophyta; Magnoliopsida; Rosales; Rosaceae
Description: long non-coding RNA (MDOM_LNC007224)
Source: RNAcentral
UCCUUCUCUCUCUUAAGCCGCGCCGCCGUGUCCUCCAGUUCCAGCAACGCUUGCUGCUCUCUCGGCGCCCCUUCGAAAGUGCUCCCAACGAAAAACGAAAACGGCGUCGGAAACAGGUUCCGCCGCAGGUCCUGCACAUCCUUCUCCGGCUUCCCGCCCAACCGAUUUGACAACCGAAUCACAUCCUUCAUAUACGACUCGACCUCGCUGGCCAACGCCUCCAGGUCCUCCUCGCCGUCGUUCGACGGCCGGUCUUCGAGCCAUUUGACCUCGGCCACCAGGUAAGGUUUGGUACGGACGAGGUCGGUGACCCGGAACCGCUCCUGGCCUUUGCAGAUAAGGAAGAACCGGUCGUCGACGAGGCGCUCGUGCUUGACGACCUCGCCGACGCAGCCAACGUCGGCGGUGCCGGAGACGGCAUCAUUGUAGAUAACCCCGAAUCGGAGAUCGGUCUGGAGGAGGGAGUGCAUCAUGAUACGGUAGCGGAACUCGAAGAUCUGAAGUGGGAGGAUGGCGCCGGGGAAGAGGACGAGGGGGAGGGGGAAGAUGGGGAGCUCGACGACGUCGUCUGAUUUGGGCUGAUUGGUGGGGUGGCGCUCAGAGAAUGAGGAGGCGGAGCAUCUGAGGGAGCCAGGUCGUUGGCGGCGGCGGCGGAGAUGGGGGGAGAGGAAAUUAGGGUUCGGGUUUAAGGGGGAGGGGAUGGGAUUGGGGUUGAAGGUGGGUUUAUGGGGGAGGGAGGAGGAGGAAGGGGAGGGGAUGAGCUGAGGUAGAGCCAUUGGAGUGGUGUUUGGGAGGAGGAGGAGAGAGAAAGUAGUCAGAUUGCCAUGUUUUUCUGGAAAGAGUGAGUGAGAGUGGGAGUGACUAAUUUUUUUUUUCUGGUUUUCUGUUUCUCUCCCUCUAAAUUUUUAGAAAAUGUGGAAAAAUCUGGUGGCUUUGAGGCAGCGAAGGAGAAGUGGAUAAUA